RNAcentral lists this ribosomal RNA (472 nucleotides) under uncultured bacterium. RNAcentral's name for it is "partial 16S ribosomal RNA". It matches the Rfam family "Bacterial small subunit ribosomal RNA", at positions 28 to 507 of the family's 1533-position model. The record is from RNAcentral.
GACGAACGCUGGCGGCGUGCUUAACACAUGCAAGUCGAACGCUGAAGCUUGGUGCUUGCCCUGGGUGGAUGAGUGGCGAACGGGUGAGUAAUACGUGAGUAACCUGCCCUUGACUCUGGGAUAAGCCUGGGAAACUGGGUCUAAUACUGGAUACGACAUGUCACCGCAUGGUGGUGUGUGGAAAGGGUUUUACUGGUUUUGGAUGGGCUCACGGCCUAUCAGCUUGUUGGUGGGGUAAUGGCUCACCAAGGCGACGACGGGUAGCCGGCCUGAGAGGGUGACCGGCCACACUGGGACUGAGACACGGCCCAGACUCCUACGGGAGGCGGCAGUGGGGAAUAUUGCACAAUGGGCGGAAGCCUGAUGCAGCGACGCCGCGUGAGGGAUGACGGCCUUCGGGUUGUAAACCUCUUUCAGCACGGAAGAAGCGAAAGUGACGGUACGUGCAGAAGAAGCGCCGGCUAACUACGUG